GGUUAAGCGACUAAGCGUACACGGUGGAUGCCCUGGCAGUCAGAGGCGAUGAAGGACGUGCUAAUCUGCGAAAAGCGUCGGUAAGGUGAUAUGAACCGUUAUAACCGGCGAUGUCCGAAUGGGGAAACCCAGUGCAAUUCGUUGCACUAUCGUUAACUGAAUACAUAGGUUAACGAGGCGAACCGGGGGAACUGAAACAUCUAAGUACCCCGAGGAAAAGAAAUCAACCGAGAUUCCCCCAGUAGCGGCGAGCGAACGGGGAGCAGCCCAGAGUCUGAAUCAGCUUGUGUGUUAGUGGAACGGUCUGGAAAGUCCGACGGUACAGGGUGAUAGUCCCGUACACCAAAAUGCACAGGCUGUGAACUCGAAGAGUAGGGCGGGACACGUGGUAUCCUGUCUGAAUAUGGGGGGACCAUCCUCCAAGGCUAAAUACUCCUGACUGACCGAUAGUGAACCAGUACCGUGAGGGAAAGGCGAAAAGAACCCCGGCGAGGGGAGUGAAAAAGAACCUGAAACCGUGUACGUACAAGCAGUGGGAGCACCUUCGGGUGUGACUGCGUACCUUUUGUAUAAUGGGUCAGCGACUUAUAUUCUGUAGCAAGGUUAACCGUAUAGGGGAGCCGCAGGGAAACCGAGUCUUAACUGGGCGUUAAGUUGCAGGGUAUAGACCCGAAACCCGGUGAUCUAGCCAUGGGCAGGUUGAAGGUUGGGUAACACUAACUGGAGGACCGAACCGACUAAUGUUGAAAAAUUAGCGGAUGACUUGUGGCUGGGGGUGAAAGGCCAAUCAAACCGGGAGAUAGCUGGUUCUCCCCGAAAGCUAUUUAGGUAGCGCCUCGUGAAUUCAUCUUCGGGGGUAGAGCACUGUUUCGGCUAGGGGGUCAUCCCGACUUACCAACCCGAUGCAAACUACGAAUACCGAAGAAUGUUAUCACGGGAGACACACGGCGGGUGCUAACGUCCGUCGUGAAGAGGGAAACAACCCAGACCGCCAGCUAAGGUCCCAAAGUCAUGGUUAAGUGGGAAACGAUGUGGGAAGGCACAGACAGCCAGGAUGUUGGCUUAGAAGCAGCCAUCAUUUAAAGAAAGCGUAAUAGCUCACUGGUCGAGUCGGCCUGCGCGGAAGAUGUAACGGGGCUAAACCAUGCACCGAAGCUGCGGCAGCGACACUAUGUGUUGUUGGGUAGGGGAGCGUUCUGUAAGCCUGCGAAGGUGACCUGUGAGGGUUGCUGGAGGUAUCAGAAGUGCGAAUGCUGACAUAAGUAACGAUAAAGCGGGUGAAAAGCCCGCUCGCCGGAAGACCAAGGGUUCCUGUCCAACGUUAAUCGGGCAGGGUGAGUCGACCCCUAAGGCGAGGCCGAAAGGCGUAGUCGAUGGGAAACAGGUUAAUAUUCCUGUACUUGGUGUUACUGCGAAGGGGGACGGAGAAGGCUAUGUUAGCCGGGCGACGGUUGUCCCGGUUUAAGCAUGUAGGCUGGUUAUCCAGGCAAAUCCGGAUAAUCAAGGCUGAGGUGUGAUGACGAGGCACUACGGUGCUGAAGUAACAAAUGCCCUGCUUCCAGGAAAAGCCUCUAAGCAUCAGGUAACAUCAAAUCGUACCCCAAACCGACACAGGUGGUCAGGUAGAGAAUACCAAGGCGCUUGAGAGAACUCGGGUGAAGGAACUAGGCAAAAUGGUGCCGUAACUUCGGGAGAAGGCACGCUGGUGUGUAGGUGAAGUCCCUGCGGAUGGAGCUGAGACCAGUCGAAGAUACCAGCUGGCUGCAACUGUUUAUUAAAAACACAGCACUGUGCAAACACGAAAGUGGACGUAUACGGUGUGACGCCUGCCCGGUGCCGGAAGGUUAAUUGAUGGGGUUAUCCGUAAGGAGAAGCUCUUGAUCGAAGCCCCGGUAAACGGCGGCCGUAACUAUAACGGUCCUAAGGUAGCGAAAUUCCUUGUCGGGUAAGUUCCGACCUGCACGAAUGGCGUAAUGAUGGCCAGGCUGUCUCCACCCGAGACUCAGUGAAAUUGAACUCGCUGUGAAGAUGCAGUGUACCCGCGGCAAGACGGAAAGACCCCGUGAACCUUUACUAUAGCUUGACACUGAACAUUGAGCCUUGAUGUGUAGGAUAGGUGGGAGGCUUUGAAGCGUGGACGCCAGUCUGCGUGGAGCCAACCUUGAAAUACCACCCUUUAAUGUUUGAUGUUCUAACGUUGGCCCCUUACCGGGGUUGCGGACAGUGUCUGGUGGGUAGUUUGACUGGGGCGGUCUCCUCCCAAAGCGUAACGGAGGAGCACGAAGGUUAGCUAAUCCUGGUCGGACAUCAGGAGGUUAGUGCAAUGGCAUAAGCUAGCUUGACUGCGAGCGUGACGGCGCGAGCAGGUGCGAAAGCAGGUCAUAGUGAUCCGGUGGUUCUGAAUGGAAGGGCCAUCGCUCAACGGAUAAAAGGUACUCCGGGGAUAACAGGCUGAUACCGCCCAAGAGUUCAUAUCGACGGCGGUGUUUGGCACCUCGAUGUCGGCUCAUCACAUCCUGGGGCUGAAGUAGGUCCCAAGGGUAUGGCUGUUCGCCAUUUAAAGUGGUACGCGAGCUGGGUUUAGAACGUCGUGAGACAGUUCGGUCCCUAUCUGCCGUGGGCGCUGGAGAAUUGAGGGGGGCUGCUCCUAGUACGAGAGGACCGGAGUGGACGCAUCACUGGUGUUCGGGUUGUCAUGCCAAUGGCACUGCCCGGUAGCUAAAUGCGGAAGAGAUAAGUGCUGAAAGCAUCUAAGCACGAAACUUGCCCCGAGAUGAGUUCUCCCUGAGACUUUAAGUCUCCUGAAGGAACGUUGAAGACGACGACGUUGAUAGGCCGGGUGUGUAAGCGCAGCGAUGCGUUGAGCUAACCGGUACUAAUGAACCGUGAGGCUUAACCUU
This 2900-nucleotide ribosomal RNA is filed under the name Klebsiella pneumoniae. RNAcentral describes it as "23S ribosomal RNA". It matches the Rfam family "Bacterial large subunit ribosomal RNA". Lineage: Bacteria; Pseudomonadati; Pseudomonadota; Gammaproteobacteria; Enterobacterales; Enterobacteriaceae. The record is from RNAcentral.